UUCGCCCUUAGAGUUUGAUCCUGGCUCAGGAUGAACGCUGGCGGCGUGCCUAACACAUGCAAGUCGAACGGAUCCAUAUUGAAACCUAGUGAUGUAUGGAUUAGUGGCGGACGGGUGAGUAACGCGUGGAUAACCUGCCGUAUACAGGGGGAUAACACUUAGAAAUAGGUGCUAAUACCGCAUAAGCGCACGGUUCCGCAUGGAACAGUGUGAAAAACUCCGGUGGUAUACGAUGGAUCCGCGUCUGAUUAGCCAGUUGGCGGGGUAACGGCCCACCAAAGCGACGAUCAGUAGCCGGCCUGAGAGGGUGAACGGCCACAUUGGGACUGAGACACGGCCCAAACUCCUACGGGAGGCAGCAGUGGGGAAUAUUGCACAAUGGGGGAAACCCUGAUGCAGCGACGCCGCGUGAGUGAAGAAGUAUCUCGGUACGUAAAGCUCUAUCAGCAGGGAAGAAAAUGACGGUACCUGAUUAAGAAGCCCCGGCUAACUACGUGCCAGCAGCCGCGGUAAUACGUAGGGGGCAAGCGUUAUCCGGAUUUACUGGGUGUAAAGGGAGCGUAGACGGCAGCGCAAGUCUGGAGUGAAAUGCCGGGGCCCAACCCCGGAACUGCUUUGGAAACUGUGCAGCUCGAGUGCAGGAGAGGUAAGCGGAAUUCCUAGUGUAGCGGUGAAAUGCGUAGAUAUUAGGAGGAACACCAGUGGCGAAGGCGGCCUGCUGGACGACAACUGACGGUGAGGCACGAAAGCGUGGGUAGCAAACAGGAUUAGAUACCCUGGUAGUCCACGCUGUAAACGAUGAUUACUAGGUGUGGGUGGACUGACCCCAUCCGUGCCGGAGUUAACACAAUAAGUAAUCCACCUGGGGAGUACGACCGCAAGGUUGAAACUCAAAGGAAUUGACGGGGGCCCGCACAAGCAGUGGAGUAUGUGGAUUAAUUCGAUGCAACGCGAAGAACCUUACCAGGUCUUGACAUCCCGCUAACGAAGUAGAGAUACAUUAGGUGCCCUUCGGGGAAAGCGGAGACAGGUGGUGCAUGGUUGUCGUCAGCUCGUGUCGUGAGAUGUUGGGUUAAGUCCCGCAACGAGCGCAACCCUUACUGUUAGUUGCUACGCAAGAGCACUUUAGCAGGACCGCCGUUGACAAAACGGAGGAAGGUGGGGAUGAUGUCAAAUCAUCAUGCCCCUUAUGACCUGGGCCUCACACGUACUACAAUGGCCAUUAACAGAGGGAGGCAAAGCCGCGAGGCAGAGCAAAACCCCAAAAAUGGUCUCAGUUCGGAUCGUAGGCUGAAACCCGCCUGCGUGAAGUUGGAAUUGCUAGUAAUCGCGGAUCAGCAUGCCGCGGUGAAUACGUUCCCGGGCCUUGUACACACCGCCCGUCA
This 1385-nucleotide ribosomal RNA is filed under the name uncultured bacterium. RNAcentral's name for it is "16S ribosomal RNA". It matches the Rfam family "Bacterial small subunit ribosomal RNA". The record is from RNAcentral.